AUUGAACGCUGGCGGCAGGCCUAACACAUGCAAGUCGAACGGUAACAGGAAGCAGCUUGCUGCUUUGCUGACGAGUGGCGGACGGGUGAGUAAUGUCUGGGAAACUGCCUGAUGGAGGGGGAUAACUACUGGAAACGGUAGCUAAUACCGCAUAACGUCGCAAGACCAAAGAGGGGGACCUUCGGGCCUCUCGCCAUCGGCUGUGCCCAGAUGGGAUUAGCUAGUAGGUGGGGUAACGGCUCACCUAGGCGACGAUCCCUAGCUGGUCUGAGAGGAUGACCAGCCACACUGGAACUGAGACACGGUCCAGACUCCUACGGGAGGCAGCAGUGGGGAAUAUUGCACAAUGGGCGCAAGCCUGAUGCAGCCAUGCCGCGUGUAUGAAGAAGGCCUUCGGGUUGUAAAGUACUUUCAGCGGGGAGGAAGGGAGUAAAGUUAAUACCUUGGCUCAUUGACGUUACCCGCAGAAGAAGCACCGGCUAACUCCGUG
Molecule: ribosomal RNA, 490 nt
Filed under: uncultured bacterium
Lineage: Bacteria
Description: partial 16S ribosomal RNA
Rfam family: Bacterial small subunit ribosomal RNA
Source: RNAcentral